CCCCCCUCGUACCGUCGCUCGAGGCCUGGAGGUGCGCUCUGCAGCUGCCUGGGGACCGCCCGUCUCGAAGCCGCGGUCAGAGAGAUUGCCGGCGCUGGGAGCUACCUAGCAGAUUUCUGAGUGCCACAACUGAGGUGCAGAAGGGACAACAACUUCCAAGAGCCUGAUGGUAUGCCAACCCACACCAAAAUAACUGGCUCAAACAAGGUCCAAAGUGACUUCGCUGUACAGAGGAAGUCAUUCAGUGUAAUCAUCUACUUCUUUUACAACUUAGGAAAGCCUCAGAAAUACUAUUCAAGGUGGCAACACACAGCUGGAUCCAAGGGACAGUGUUUCAUUUCUGAAGUUCAGUGGAAGAGCAUACACAUGUAUGUUUUUCCUGCCCAUGGACUGUGCCGAUGGAGAAGUUCGCUGUUGAUCAUGUUUGACUGCUACAGGUUGAUUCACAACUGAGGAGUCACACAGCUCUACUUCUGUCUGUCCACUACCUUCUCACAAUGUGAAAAAGCUGCCAGCAAUUAUACGUGUCUCAGCCCUCUCUAGGCACAGUUUUAGUGUUUCUGAGCCACAUCCUGCACAUUACUAUUCUGAUUCAGUACACCCUAACAGCAGGAUAUUGAUAUAUCUCCAGAAAGUACAAGGAGAGCCAAAAACCAAACCACAUGAAAUAAUAAGUAUUAGCCUUACUGCUCUCUCCAGCCCUUACAAGUCUACUAUGAAACAAAGUACCUCCUUUCACCACAGAGCUUCUGAGCAUGGAGUGUGAUUAAGCUCAAAUACAUAAACCUGAGUAACCUCUUUCCCUCUCCUAAAGUUUUCGUAACUCUUUUUUGGACACGUUUGGAUUUCCAUCACAGAAAAGGAAGUGAAAAAUGGGAGGCUGAAUAACAGCUCAGCUGCCAUCUGAGAUGUAACUCAAAAUGCUGGGCAAUGAAGUAGGGGAAACUAUGGUAUUUCUCCUGUCCUUUCCUGUACCUUAAAAUACUCUUUAAGUUAGCCAGCCAGCCAGGAAAAAAACAGAUGAAUAUAAUCGUCUCCAGUGAUCUAUUUUCCAUGAGAAAGAGGCAGAGCUUAUUUAAUCUAUUCAUAUGUAAACUGCCCUAUACCUCCAGUUCCACAUCCCACUGCCAAUUCUUUCUGCUCCAUCUAAUUGUACACUUCAAAAUAUGAUGAACAGUGGAUAAAAACUCCGCAAAUUACUAGUACACAAAGAACAAAGCACAAACAGAUGUGCUGUUUAAACACAGCUUUCUAAUGAAAAGUCAUUUUUAUCUACAGAUAGACUUGAUUUCCAAAAUUCAGGCUUCUACAAAUCUCAACUUCUUAAACAAAGAUCUUGUUUGGGUUAUAAAGGAUGACCUCAGCUACUAAUCUUCUAGUUGUAGACAAUCAACACCAAAUCUUGGAGAGAAAUCAAUCAGUAAAAAUCAAUUUGUACAAGCCACAACUACAAAAACAAACAGAAACCACACCACACAAAUACAAAUGACUUGAGUAAUACUAACCACUUGCUUGUCUUGGAAUUAAAAAUACAAAAGCUGCUCGAGAACAACUGUGAAGGAAGGAUAAGAUUAUAAGCUAGUGAGGUGCACCUCAAUGGUAACACUGGGAACUGCAAAACAUAUAUAAGUUUUGGGCUUUAAUCCCAGUUUCCCAACAGCAUUCAAAUUUCUCUAUGGGAUGAAUUACCUACUCUCACUAUUUACAUCCUUAAUUAACAGGCAAUAAGAAUUUGAAAUUGUGGAAAUUGUAAGCAGAGCCAACACAUAGGGCACAGACUGUGGCAUUAUCUGAAACAGCCUGACCAGAGACAGCAGGUCACAGGUGAGAAAAUAAGGGUGAGUUUUUCAAAUAUUCAUAUAUUGUAGUCUGCUUUCAGCCAACAUAUCCUUUUAAUUAUCGCUAUGUUGUAUUUGUUCUUCUCUCCUUCACGCUGCAGAGAGACAGAAAUAACAGAACACAAAAAUAAAGGACACCAAAAUUCUUUCUGCAGAACACAAAGCUCAGCCUUUCCAUACAAUUCCACUAUUAGCAAUGAAGCUUCACAGCACAAAAACAUCACAGAGCACAGGACAAUCAGCCUGUGUAUAACACACAUGCUGCAUGCCUUUAAUAUGAAAUAUCAGACACUUCAGUCUGCUAUUUAAUACCUCAGCUAAUACUUACUGGCUGUGUAUGCCUAACAGAUCAGCCUUUUCUCAGAUCCAAAAUACACCUUAGAUCACCUGUGUCAGUGCAUAAACAUCUCUGCACUGUUGAACUUUGAGAUCGGCUUUUCUUUUCUGCCCUUCCUUCAAAAAAUUCAGAUUUGGUGCACGCCUUCUCAGCGAAUUACUGUGUGUAGGUGAGGAGGAAAAGAAGCAUAUUAUUAGUGUUGGAACAUUGCCCGCCUUUUGGAUGGCUUUCACAGGAUAAAAUACAAUGCUUGGACAGAAGCAAGAUUCCGAAUCUCAAGCUCCAUAGCUUAACUGCAGGGCCCGUACUGUGAUCCAAUCCUUUUAUUUUGUAUUUCCCAGAAUAAUUCCUUUAUAAAAAGAGAAGUUUUGUAUGUUUCAGCAUUCUAGUGACUGUGAAAGAAAACAAAUCUGCUUAAAGGGAUGACUGCUUCUCAAAAUGCAGACAUUUUUUAGUAAAAAUAAAAUACAUGCCAUGAUAAAGUGGAAGAGGAAAGAAGCAAAUUAAACUAGAUGUCUCAGUGCAGACCAAAUAAUUUAUGCCACGAUUAGAGAACAUUAAAAGGGGGAAGCUUUCAAUAUCCUACCAUAAGAUAAUUGGUACAUCCACCUUCCAACUCAAUUGCAUCUACAGCUAUGUCUACAUUGGUGAAUAAAGCAAGCCAGUACAAGUAGAUUUCUUACAUGGAAAUAUCAAUGUUGAAAAAAAAGAAUCUUUUCUAGACUUAUUCCAUUAUUUUUUCCUUCUAAGAUUGUACUAGCUGUACUCGCAUUAGAUGGACUCAUGCAACACUCCUUCCAGGUCAGCUUCAUCCAAGAGAAACCCAAUGCUAAGAACGCUUCCCAACAUGGAGAAAAGUAGAGUAAGUGCAAGGAAUGAGAGAUCUGCUUCCAGAGAAUCACGUGCCUCUUCUGAAUGGAAAUAGCAAAUGUGCCUGAAGUUCAGCACAAUAUGUCUGUUUUUACAGUACAGAAUAAGUAUAUGUCUACUAAGAUAGAUAUAAUGGUUUCUCUAACUACAGAAAAACACGGUUAAGGAAACCUCAUCUCGAAGUAUAUGGAAGGACUUAAGAUAGAGUUUGGUAAAUUCUUAGAAUGACAUUCUAUUGCUUUCAAGAAUCCCAGCCUUCCUUCCCUAACCUUGUGAGCUGCUGGAAAAAAAAUUGCUAAACUGAUGUGUAAAGAGAAACUGCUGCAUCUCCUGAUCCUGUUAAUUAAACAAUGGAUUUUCCUUUGUUUUUAA
Long non-coding RNA from Tympanuchus pallidicinctus (lesser prairie-chicken), 3417 nucleotides. RefSeq lists it as uncharacterized. Lineage: Eukaryota; Metazoa; Chordata; Aves; Galliformes; Phasianidae. The record is from RefSeq and is a predicted model, not a curated record. The transcript has 3 exons.